Molecule: long non-coding RNA, 1710 nt
Organism: Papaver somniferum (opium poppy)
Lineage: Eukaryota; Viridiplantae; Streptophyta; Magnoliopsida; Ranunculales; Papaveraceae
Exons: 3
Source: RefSeq, a predicted model, not a curated record
CACUAAAUUGCAUAAAACUCAAUUGAGAAUAACAAUGCCCAGUUACAUGAUUUUAGUUCAUGUCUAUAAAUUAUACUCAUUCAUAACACACAGCAAGUAUCGGUAUCCUGAAUUAUUCUUUGAAAUGUAAAAAUGAACUCAUAAGCAUAAUUAAGGAAAGCAAACCAACGCAAACUAAACCCCAGCUUUUCUUUUUAAAUGCAAUUGUGAUAUUUUGUACACCAAUGAACGAAUUGUUACAGCGAAAGAAACCAAAUCAACAAUGUCUAAGCCUUAGGUUAUAUUCAAUGACACAUCCCAUUCGAAAUACAUUUAUUCCGCCGGUUCAACAUAGUGGUGGAUUCUUUGAAGAAUCCUUUGGGUUACUGAUAUGAUGGAUAAAAUAUAAUCUCAGGAAUAGAGUCGUGGGUGUCUUGCACCAACCGGAUAUAAAUGAUAGAUGGAACAUGGCGUUCCAAGCAGGUGUGAGGUUGAUCGAUGAAGGACAAGCUUUUGUUGUAAUUGUACAUUAUGCCGCAGACCUAAUGUCUUAUCUAGGCUCUCGGAUGCUGUAAAGGAACUUGGGCCUGGAGAAUCAUCACAUGUACGUACCUCUUCCUUUUUCACUAAUUUAUCUCCAGUAAUAUUGUAGAUAUGUUCUUAAAAAGUUGAAAUACAUGUUGUUUUCUCUCUGAUUUUCAUAGUCCAGUUUCAAAUCAUAUCUUAUCUUGACUUUAUCCAAUUGUACAUUCAUUAUUCGAGAAAUUUUCGGAUGUGGUAAAGGACAUACAGAAGCUAUGAUGACGAAGCUAGCUACAAGAAAAAGUGGUGUUAGUUUAGGUUGAUUGAAGUUGGCAUGGAAAACCAAGAUUCUUUUCGGAUUUUCCUGUUUACGUUUGAAAUUGAACAUGCAUGCCGCUAAUGUAGUUGGCAUUUUAAUGCAACCACUACCAAGGUACUAUUAGAAAAUGGUUGGAGCUAUCUUUCCUGCCUUCUGUGUGCCAAAAACAUUGUUGGUGACCUUCUUGAAGUGUGCAUCAGAUGUUGAAAUGCUCAUUCCAAGGUAGACGCGCCCUGCACUUUAGCUUUCUUUACCCGACUAUCUUCAUCCAUCCAUUCAUUUGACAUUUCAGUCAAGUCCUUUUUACAGCAAAGGUUUCUACUCCAUUUUAAAGUUGAAGACAUCACCGGCUCGGCAUCUUCGUAGCUCCUGAUAGUGAGGUCUAGAAAUAUGCAGGUAAGUGGUAACCCAACUUUUCUUAUCUUCCCUGAUUACCUUUUGAAUUCCAGCCUGUCGUGUCUCAACCAGCAUACGGUAACCUCACUUCAGCAAUCCACAAUUUCGAAGGAUAUUGCCAAAGAGGCGGUGAUGACAGAAUUCUCGCAGAUCCUCAAUAACACUGGAUUUCAUGAUAAACAACCAGGAGGCCGAAAUAUGGACUGACUGUGGAUUUUAUAAAUGAUUCGCUUCUUACCGACGAUGACUACCAACCAACAAAAACAGGUAAAACUAAGGACAGUACCAAUGGCAAAGCUAUCUUCUUCACAAAUGCUACGGGCUCUACCAAAUUUGUUACUUACGAAGGAAACAAAAGAAAGUUUUAUAUAUCUCUCAGAUAUUUGCGCUCUAUUGAAAGUAGGUCGAGAGAAAUAUUUCUGUUGUAUAGUAUUCCAUGAAGAUUGAAAACUUCAUUAUCUAAUUCAAGGCAUAUAUCUUCAAGUUUUGGAAGC